GGCUCAUAAACUUUUAUAAGCAGAAAUUUCGUAGAAGAAAAUAAUUAUCAAAGAAAAUUUGUCACAAACGAUAGAGAAGCUUUGUUUCGGCCAAAGAAAAAAUAUUUAAAUUUUCCCCCAUAGAAAUAUGGCGUUUCGUUUGGUGCCUCAAAACGUUUGUUGGUAGCCUACAAGUAUACAAUUUUAAUAUUAAAUGAAACUACGUAUAAAACUAAAUGGAUCUGCAUGAAAAAGUCUAUAGGCUGCAAGAAGAAUAAGGAGAGCAAGAGCAAACAAUGCAACACUAUGUUAAUUUGUGCAUUGGAUCAAAAAAUGCACCACCACCACCACUUGUCUUUCCCAUCUUCCCAUUAGAGGAGAACAUGAAUUCAAUGACGGUCACUGAACCUGCCUUGUUGUUGUGGUAUUUAAGAGAAUCUCAAAAACCAACAACUACAACAUUGGGGAGGUUGUAAAUUUCAAUCAUAAUUUUUGGUUUACAAAAGAAAUCUAGAAUCACAAACGCAAUAACCAACACUCACACACACCAACACACACUCACACACCUACAUCUUAUGAUCUAGAUGGAGCAAUAGAGCAUCUAUCCAUAAAUAAGUUGGAGGUAUGCCUGUUUGUGUCAGGCUAUUUAUGUGACAACAUUUAAAUAAAAUAUAAAAUAAAUAA
This is a long non-coding RNA of Stomoxys calcitrans (stable fly), 663 nucleotides long. RefSeq lists it as uncharacterized. The record is from RefSeq and is a predicted model, not a curated record. NCBI's taxonomy places the organism in Eukaryota, Metazoa, Arthropoda, Insecta, Diptera, Muscidae. The transcript is spliced from 2 exons.